This 306-nucleotide ribosomal RNA is filed under the name uncultured Peredibacter sp. Its description in RNAcentral is "bacterial SSU rRNA". It matches the Rfam family "Bacterial small subunit ribosomal RNA", at positions 1033 to 1340 of the family's 1533-position model. The record is from RNAcentral. Lineage: Bacteria; Pseudomonadati; Bdellovibrionota; Bacteriovoracia; Bacteriovoracales; Bacteriovoracaceae.
GAGAGGUGCUGCAUGGCUGUCGUCAGCUCGUGUUGUGAAAUGUUGGGUUAAGUCUCGCAACGAGCGCAAUUUUUAUCGUCUGUUGCCAGCAUUAAGUUGGGCACUCUGACGAGACUGCCUGGGUUAACCAGGAGGAAGGUGGGGAUGACGUCAAGUCCUCAUGGCCCUUAUGUCUAGGGCUACACACGUAAUACAAUGGCGCGUACAAAGGGAAGCGAACUCGCAAGGGGGAGCAAAUCUCAAAAAGCGCGUCUCAGUCCGGAUUGGAGUCUGCAACUCGACUCCAUGAAGUUGGAAUCGCUAGUA